This 524-nucleotide ribosomal RNA is filed under the name Clambidae sp. UPOL 001320. RNAcentral describes it as "partial 16S ribosomal RNA". It matches the Rfam family "Bacterial large subunit ribosomal RNA", at positions 1816 to 2610 of the family's 2925-position model. Lineage: Eukaryota; Metazoa; Arthropoda; Insecta; Coleoptera; Clambidae. The record is from RNAcentral.
CAUGUCCUUUUGAAUAUAAUUUAAGGUCUGACCUGCCCAAUGAGAAUUUUAAUGGCUGCGGUAUUUUGACCGUACAAAGGUAGCAUAAUCAUUAGUUUUUUAAUUGAAAGCUUGUAUGAAGGGUUGAACGAGGUAAUAACUGUCUUAAAUUAAGUAAUAAAAUUUUAUUUUUAAGUUAAAAAGCUUAAAUUAAGUUAAAAGACGAGAAGACCCUAUAGAGCUUUAUAAUUAUAUGUAUUAUUAAAUAUAAAGAAUUAUUAAUUUUUUUUACAUUAGAUUAUUUUAUUGGGGUGAUAUUAAAAUUUAAAUAACUUUUAAUUUUUAGGUUUCAUUAAUUAAUGAUUAAUUGAUCCAAAAUUUUUGAUUAUAAGAUUAAGUUACCUUAGGGAUAACAGCGUAAUUUUUUUGGAGAGUUCUUAUCGAUAAAAAAGAUUGCGACCUCGAUGUUGGAUUAAAAUAAUUAUUGGGAGUAGGGUUUCAAUUAAUAGGUCUGUUCGACCUUUAAAUUUUUACAUGAUCUGAGU